This is a long non-coding RNA of Oncorhynchus tshawytscha (Chinook salmon), 535 nucleotides long. NCBI's taxonomy places the organism in Eukaryota, Metazoa, Chordata, Actinopteri, Salmoniformes, Salmonidae. The record is from Ensembl.
UGUGCCUAAGAACAGCCCUUAGCCAUGGUAUAUUGGCCAUAUACCACACCUCCUCGGGCCUUAUUGCUUAAUUAUCUCAUGUUCUGUAUGUGAAUGCUCCAUUGGAUGGGUGAGUGUGAGUGUGUUGUACUUGAGCACGUGUUAGUGAUAGGAAAGUUCAGAAGACUAAGUGUGUCAUGCAGCCGUAGAUUAGUACCCCCAUUAGCAUCAGUGGCUGGCCUGUGUUUGGACUGGCUAUAAACACAGCAAGGGUGAUUGUCCCAGGUACACUCUGUAUCCGUCCCAGCCAGGGUGAUUGUCCCAGGUCCACUCUGUAUCCGUCCCAGCCAGGUGAUAGUCCCAGGUCCACUCUGUAUCCGUCCCAGCCAGGUGAUUGUCCCAGGUCCACUCUGUAUCCGUCCCAGCCAGGUGAUAGUCCCAGGUCCACUCUGUAUCCAUCCCAACCAGGUCACCCGUAAGACAAGUCAGAAUUCAACGUUGUCUGAAUCCAUGUCUGAGGAUGUCGGGAGAUGAUGUGCUAACUGGUCACCAGGGG